RNAcentral lists this ribosomal RNA (497 nucleotides) under uncultured bacterium. RNAcentral describes it as "partial 16S ribosomal RNA". It matches the Rfam family "Bacterial small subunit ribosomal RNA", at positions 28 to 507 of the family's 1533-position model. The record is from RNAcentral.
GAUGAACGCUGGCGGCGUGCCUAAUACAUGCAAGUCGAGCGAACGGACGAGAAGCUUGCUUCUCUGAUGUUAGCGGCGGACGGGUGAGUAACACGUGGAUAACCUACCUAUAAGACUGGGAUAACUUCGGGAAACCGGAGCUAAUACCGGAUAAUAUUUUGAACCGCAUGAUUCAAAAGUGAAAGACGGUCUUGCUGUCACUUAUAGAUGGAUCCGCGCUGCAUUAGCUAGUUGGUAAGGUAACGGCUUACCAAGGCAACGAUGCAUAGCCGACCUGAGAGGGUGAUCGGCCACACUGGAACUGAGACACGGUCCAGACUCCUACGGGAGGCAGCAGUAGGGAAUCUUCCGCAAUGGGCGAAAGCCUGACGGAGCAACGCCGCGUGAGUGAUGAAGGUCCUUGGAUCGUAAAACUCUGUUAUUAGGGAAGAACAUAUGUGUAAGUAACUGUGCACAUCUUGACGGUACCUAAUCAGAAAGCCACGGCUAACUACGUG